Molecule: non-coding RNA, 27 nt
Filed under: Cricetulus griseus (Chinese hamster)
Lineage: Eukaryota; Metazoa; Chordata; Mammalia; Rodentia; Cricetidae
Source: RNAcentral
GUUGAGAGCAAGGAUAUCAGAACUGUU